GACGCUGGCGGCGUGCCUAACACAUGCAAGUCGAACGGUCUACUCGUGGUUCGAUAUUCGUGGUUCGUGGUUCGAUUAUAGAUAGACUUCGGAGCUAAAAAGAAUAUGUUAAUAGGGCUUUGAAGACUACUCAAUUCGAACAACGAAUAUCGAAUAUCGAACUACGUGUUGGAUAGUGGCGGACGGGUGAGUAACGCGUGGGUAACCUACCCAUAAAGCCGGGACAACCCUUGGAAACGAGGGCUAAUACCGGAUAAUCUUAAGGCUUGGCAUCAAGCUUUAAGGAAAGGUGGCCUCUGAACAUGCUACCGAUUAUGGAUGGACCCGCGUCUGAUUAGCUAGUUGGUGGGGUAAAGGCCUACCAAGGCGACGAUCAGUAGCCGGCCUGAGAGGGG
RNAcentral lists this non-coding RNA (395 nucleotides) under Desulfosporosinus sp. I2. Its description in RNAcentral is "Bacterial small subunit ribosomal RNA". It matches the Rfam family "Bacterial small subunit ribosomal RNA", at positions 32 to 301 of the family's 1533-position model. The record is from Rfam by way of RNAcentral. Lineage: Bacteria; Bacillati; Bacillota; Clostridia; Eubacteriales; Desulfitobacteriaceae.